Molecule: ribosomal RNA, 497 nt
Filed under: uncultured bacterium
Lineage: Bacteria
Description: partial 16S ribosomal RNA
Rfam family: Bacterial small subunit ribosomal RNA
Source: RNAcentral
GAUGAACGCUGGCGGCGUGCCUAAUACAUGCAAGUCGAGCGAACAGACGAGGAGCUUGCUCCUCUGACGUUAGCGGCGGACGGGUGAGUAACACGUGGAUAACCUACCUAUAAGACUGGGAUAACUUCGGGAAACCGGAGCUAAUACCGGAUAAUAUAUUGAACCGCAUGGUUCAAUAGUGAAAGAAGGUUUUGCUGUCACUUAUAGAUGGAUCCGCGCCGCAUUAGCUAGUUGGUAAGGUAACGGCUUACCAAGGCGACGAUGCGUAGCCGACCUGAGAGGGUGAUCGGCCACACUGGAACUGAGACACGGUCCAGACUCCUACGGGAGGCAGCAGUAGGGAAUCUUCCGCAAUGGGCGAAAGCCUGACGGAGCAACGCCGCGUGAGUGAUGAAGGUCUUCGGAUCGUAAAACUCUGUUAUUAGGGAAGAACAAAUGUGUAAGUACCUAUGCACGUCUUGACGGUACCUAAUCAGAAAGCCACGGCUAACUACGUG